AGGUUAACCGAAUAGGGGAGCCGGAGGGAAACCGAGUCUUAACCGGGCGUUAAGUUGCAGGGUAUAGACCCGAAACCCGGUGAUCUAGCCAUGGGCAGGUUGAAGGUUGGGUAACACUAACUGGAGGACCGAACCGACUAAUGUUGAAAAAUUAGCGGAUGACCUGUGGCUGGGGGUGAAAGGCCAAUCAAACCGGGAGAUAGCUGGUUCUCCCCGAAAGCUAUUUAGGUAGCGCCUCGUGAAUUCAUCUCCGGGGGUAGAGCACUGUUUCGGCUAGGGGGCCAUCCCGGCUUACCAACCCGAUGCAAACUGCGAAUACCGGAGAAUGUUAUCACGGGAGACACACGGCGGGUGCUAACGUCCGUCGUGAAGAGGGAAACAACCCAGACCGCCAGCUAAGGUCCCAAAGUCAUGGUUAAGUGGGAAACGAUGUGGGAAGGCCCAGACAGCCAGGAUGUUGGCUUAGAAGCAGCCAUCAUUUAAAGAAAGCGUAAUAGCUCACUGGUCGAGUCGGCCUGCGCGGAAGAUGUAACGGGGCUAAACCAUGCACCGAAGCUGCGGCAGCGACACUGUGUGUUGUUGGGUAGGGGAGCGUUCUGUAAGCCUGUGAAGGUGUGUCGUGAGGCAUGCUGGAGGUAUCAGAAGUGCGAAUGCUGACAUAAGUAACGAUAAAGCGGGUGAAAAGCCCGCUCGCCGGAAGACCAAGGGUUCCUGUCCAACGUUAAUCGGGGCAGGGUGAGUCGACCCCUAAGGCGAGGCCGAAAGGCGUAGUCGAUGGGAAACGGGUUAAUAUUCCCGUACUUGGUGUUACUGCGAAGGGGGGACGGAGAAGGCUAUGUUGGCCGGGCGACGGUUGUCCCGGUUUAAGCGUGUAGGUGUGUGUUCCAGGUAAAUCCGGUUCACUUUAACACUGAGGCGUGACGACGAGGCACUACGGUGCUGAAGCAACAAAUGCCCUGCUUCCAGGAAAAGCCUCUAAGCAUCAGGUAACAUCAAAUCGUACCCCAAACCGACACAGGUGGUCAGGUAGAGAAUACCAAGGCGCUUGAGAGAACUCGGGUGAAGGAACUAGGCAAAAUGGUGCCGUAACUUCGGGAGAAGGCACGCUGACACGUAGGUGAAGUGAUUUACUCAUGGAGCUGAAGUCAGUCGAAGAUACCAGCUGGCUGCAACUGUUUAUUAAAAACACAGCACUGUGCAAACACGAAAGUGGACGUAUACGGUGUGACGCCUGCCCGGUGCCGGAAGGUUAAUUGAUGGGGUCAGCGCAAGCGAAGCUCCUGAUCGAAGCCCCGGUAAACGGCGGCCGUAACUAUAACGGUCCUAAGGUAGCGAAAUUCCUUGUCGGGUAAGUUCCGACCUGCACGAAUGGCGUAAUGAUGGCCAGGCUGUCUCCACCCGAGACUCAGUGAAAUUGAACUCGCUGUGAAGAUGCAGUGUACCCGCGGCAAGACGGAAAGACCCCGUGAACCUUUACUAUAGCUUGACACUGAACAUUGAGCCUUGAUGUGUAGGAUAGGUGGGAGGCUUUGAAGUGUGGACGCCAGUCUGCAUGGAGCCGACCUUGAAAUACCACCCUUUAAUGUUUGAUGUUCUAACGUGGACCCGUUACCCGGGUUGCGGACAGUGUCUGGUGGGUAGUUUGACUGGGGCGGUCUCCUCCUAAAGAGUAACGGAGGAGCACGAAGGUUGGCUAAUCCUGGUCGGACAUCAGGAGGUUAGUGCAAUGGCAUAAGCCAGCUUGACUGCGAGCGUGACGGCGCGAGCAGGUGCGAAAGCAGGUCAUAGUGAUCCGGUGGUUCUGAAUGGAAGGGCCAUCGCUCAACGGAUAAAAGGUACUCCGGGGAUAACAGGCUGAUACCGCCCAAGAGUUCAUAUCGACGGCGGUGUUUGGCACCUCGAUGUCGGCUCAUCACAUCCUGGGGCUGAAGUAGGUCCCAAGGGUAUGGCUGUUCGCCAUUUAAAGUGGUACGCGAGCUGGGUUUAGAACGUCGUGAGACAGUUCGGUCCCUAUCUGCCGUGGGCGCUGGAGAACUGAGGGGGGCUGCUCCUAGUACGAGAGGACCGGAGUGGACGCAUCACUGGUGUUCGGGUUGUCAUGCCAAUGGCACUGCCCGGUAGCUAAAUGCGGAAGAGAUAAGUGCUGAAAGCAUCUAAGCACGAAACUUGCCCCGA
RNAcentral lists this ribosomal RNA (2175 nucleotides) under Salmonella enterica. RNAcentral's name for it is "partial 23S ribosomal RNA". It matches the Rfam family "Bacterial large subunit ribosomal RNA", at positions 643 to 2802 of the family's 2925-position model. The record is from RNAcentral. Lineage: Bacteria; Pseudomonadati; Pseudomonadota; Gammaproteobacteria; Enterobacterales; Enterobacteriaceae.